CCUACGGGAGGCAGCAGUGGGGAAUAUUGGACAAUGGGCGCAAGCCUGAUCCAGCCAUGCCGCGUGGGUGAAGAAGGCCUUCGGGUUGUAAAGCCCUUUUGUUGGGAAAGAAAAGCAGUCGGUUAAUACCCGAUUGUUCUGACGGUACCCAAAGAAUAAGCACCGGCUAACUUCGUGCCAGCAGCCGCGGUAAUACGAAGGGUGCAAGCGUUACUCGGAAUUACUGGGCGUAAAGCGUGCGUAGGUGGUUGUUUAAGUCCGUUGUGAAAGCCCUGGGCUCAACCUGGGAAUUGCAGUGGAUACUGGGCAACUAGAGUGUGGUAGAGGAUGGCGGAAUUCCCGGUGUAGCAGUGAAAUGCGUAGAGAUCGGGAGGAACAUCUGUGGCGAAGGCGGCCAUCUGGACCAACACUGACACUGAGGCACGAAAGCGU
Molecule: ribosomal RNA, 432 nt
Filed under: uncultured bacterium
Lineage: Bacteria
Description: bacterial SSU rRNA
Rfam family: Bacterial small subunit ribosomal RNA
Source: RNAcentral